RNAcentral lists this ribosomal RNA (460 nucleotides) under uncultured bacterium. Its description in RNAcentral is "partial 16S ribosomal RNA". It matches the Rfam family "Bacterial small subunit ribosomal RNA", at positions 338 to 795 of the family's 1533-position model. The record is from RNAcentral.
CCUACGGGUGGCAGCAGUGAGGAAUAUUGGUCAAUGGACGAGAGUCUGAACCAGCCAAGUUGCGUGAAGGAUGACUGCCCUAUGGGUUGUAAACUUCUUUUAUAUGGGAAUAAAAUGUUCCACGUGUGGGAUUUUGUAUGUACCAUAUGAAUAAGGAUCGGCUAAAUCCGUGCCAGCAGCCGCGGUAAUACGGAGGAUCCGAGCGUUAUCCGGAUUUAUUGGGUUUAAAGGGAGCGUAGGUGGAUUGUUAAGUCAGUUGUGAAAGUUUGCGGCUCAACCGUAAAAUUGCAGUUGAAACUGGCAGUCUUGAGUACAGGAGAGGUGGGCGGAAUUCGUGGUGUAGCGGUGAAAUGCUUAGAUAUCACGAAGAACUCCGAUUGCGAAGGCAGUUCACUGGACUGCAACUGACACUGAGGCUCGAAAGUGUGGGUAUCAAACAGGAUUAGAUACCCUUGUAGUC